Molecule: long non-coding RNA, 1298 nt
Filed under: Mus spicilegus (steppe mouse)
Lineage: Eukaryota; Metazoa; Chordata; Mammalia; Rodentia; Muridae
Description: lncRNA (ENSMSIG00000005766.1)
Source: RNAcentral
GGACACCAAUCAUUUUGGACUAGGACGCCACCCUAGAAUCUCAUUCAACCUAUAUUCCCUCCUUAAAAGCCGGCCUCUGGGCUGCAGGGUAGAAGUCAGUAAGGAGUGACCACCUGGCAUGUUGAAGGUUUGUUUCCCAGCGUUAUUACCACGAUUGGCAGCUGAAGACACACCGAGCUCGCAGGACAAGAAGCAGAACAGGUUCCCUGAAGCGGUGUUCCUCACACCAGGACGUGUGGCCAGAAAUGCACAUCCUGGUGACCCAUGAGAGAGGAAGCAGUAAACACAUCUUGGCGAGGCUCCCAGUGCCUACAGAAAGCUAUUUUGGGUGAAGAUACAGUGUCCUGACACCUCUCUUUCUGAAAACUCCACACAGCUACUGAAAUGAACAUUUCCAUCUCCAUGGGCUCACAGACCACUGAGUAACAGAAAACACUGUUGUAUUUCUGCCGACCAGCAUUUGGAAGCAGCCAGUCCUUCAAGCCCAGCCUACUCCAGUCCUCCUUGAGGAAAGAGUCACGGAUCACUCACUCGUCCCUGCCUUCCUCUGACUACCGUAAGGUCUCGCCCAGGGAGAAAAACCUCAACUGGAAUCACAGUGUUGCCAUUUCUGUUGGAUCCGAGGUGGUUUUGCAUCGAUUGGCAGUCCAGCAGUUUGUGCCCGGUGCCCAGAUCUGGAGACAACAAAAAGAACAAUAACUUUUUUUUUUCCAAAUAUCUUUUUGUGUAUGGGUAUUUUGCCUGAAUGCAUGUACGUGUACCACGUGCAUGUCUGGUGCCCGCAGAGGCUAGAAGAGGGGACAUUGGAUCUGGAACUCGAGCUACAGAUGGUUGUGAGUUGAUAUUUGGGACUCAGUACUCCGUCCUCUGUAAGUACACCUAACCACUGAGCUACCUUUCCAGUCCCUAGAAUGGUUCUUCUUGUUGUUGUUGUUGUUUAAAUAAUAGGUCCAAAAUGUUGUCUUGGUGCCUCCACCUACAUCCAGCUGUAAACUGAUAACAAGACUCCGGCCAUUACAGAUCAGAACCCACAUGUUAAUGCUUUAAUCAUGUAUCUACCUCAACCUGAGAAAGCCAACACUCCCUGUGUUCUCUUCUGUGUGUUAGACAGGGUGAGAAAGAUGUGAUGGUUCAGGAAAGAGGUGGCAGGAGCACACCCAGUGCAGAACAACACGAGACAGGAGGAAUAAGCAUGAUGUAGCAGGAGCUCAAAGGAACCGAACGGCACAUAUGGAAAGGCAGACCGUAGGAGGUGGAAUGGGACUGCCGAGAGCAGAAUGUUAGAAGGUUGGUUAAGA